UAAGAAGCACCGGCUAACUACGUGCCAGCAGCCGCGGUAAUACGUAGGGUGCGAGCGUUGUCCGGAAUUACUGGGCGUAAAGAGCUCGUAGGUGGUUUGUCGCGUCGUCUGUGAAAUUCCGGGGCUUAACUCCGGGCGUGCAGGCGAUACGGGCUGACUUGAGUGCUGUAGGGGAGACUGGAAUUCCUGGUGUAGCGGUGAAAUGCGCAGAUAUCAGGAGGAACACCGAUGGCGAAGGCAGGUCUCUGGGCAGUAACUGACGCUGAGGAGCGAAAGCAUGGGUAGCGAACAGGAUUAGAUACCCUGGUAGUCCAUGCCGUAAACGGUGGGCGCUAGGUGUAGGGGGCUUCCACGUCUUCUGUGCCGUAGCUAACGCAUUAAGCGCCCCGCCUGGGGAGUACGGCCGCAAGGCUAAAACUCAAAGGAAUUGACGGGGGCCCGCACAAGCGGCGGAGCAUGUGGAUUAAUUCGAUGCAACGCGAAGAACCUUACCUG
This 495-nucleotide ribosomal RNA is filed under the name Corynebacterium striatum. Its description in RNAcentral is "bacterial SSU rRNA". It matches the Rfam family "Bacterial small subunit ribosomal RNA", at positions 484 to 977 of the family's 1533-position model. The record is from RNAcentral. Lineage: Bacteria; Bacillati; Actinomycetota; Actinomycetes; Mycobacteriales; Corynebacteriaceae.